Long non-coding RNA from Felis catus (domestic cat), 1230 nucleotides. RefSeq lists it as uncharacterized. The record is from RefSeq and is a predicted model, not a curated record. The transcript is spliced from 3 exons. NCBI's taxonomy places the organism in Eukaryota, Metazoa, Chordata, Mammalia, Carnivora, Felidae.
CAGAUCAUAAUUUAAUCUAAAACACACACACAAAAAAACAUCUUCUAUGAGCACCAAAAUGAAUAGAUCUGAAAUUCAGCCUCUAUUAUGAGAGACUCCCAAAUCAUAUGACAAUAACAAAUGUGUAUUUCUUGCUCAUCUUUCACAGGGAUCCUCCCAAGAGAGCAGUGCUGGCAAAGACUAGACUCUGACCUACCCAAUUCAUACUAGACAAAGAAUCAGGCCCAAGGUCGUAAAUUCAAGAGGUUACUUUUACUAUUGGAGCCAGCUCCUGAGCCCAGGUCUCAAGCACGUGAAGGUCUUCUGUGGAUUUGGAGGAGGGGACAGCUAUCUGACUGAUAAAAAAAAAAAAAAAAAAAUCACCUGCCAGACUUCUAAGCAGCACUUCUCCCCUUAGCCUUGGACCUCAGCCAAGUACUCAGCCAAUGAACUCUCUCAGCUCCCAGAAAAGUCUGUUUAUCAUCCUUCAAAUAGUUGAAAACAGCAAGGACAUUCACUACUGAGUUCUUUUUUUCAGACUGAACAUCCCUAGCAGCUUCCUUAGACUCCCCACCUAGACAACAAGGCCCUCCUGGACAUAUAUUCUCUGCCUUACUCCUCUUCCCAGAUCCUUCCCCAUGUUGGUCAUCAUGCUAUAGCUACAGUAAAAUGAAUCCUUUUCCCUCUUCAAUGGAGCAUCCAGCAAUGCAGACACUCUCUGGGCUGUCCACAACUAUAAGUGCAUGCGAAUAACGUUUACAUCUAACCCUGCAAACCAUUUCAUACAAAAUGUUAUGAAACUGAUGUUAUGAAGGUACAACUGUAUGAUCCUAUCAAAGCCAGAGGGCAGAGAAUUCAGGAAGACUCAGCUCCUCCGUCCUUGGUCCCAGAAUGUCCCAUCCAGCUAAAGAAUCCCUCUGCAGAUUCAAGUGCAAGACACCAUUUCCUCAUGCCAUGAGAAAUUUAUCACAAGGAACAAAUUCCAUGGGUGUUCACACAGAAGCUCACUUCCCUCUUCUGGCUCUUUGCCAACUGCUGGGAUAAUGAAGAGAAGCUGCCAGAAAUACCAGGAAGGUAUAGUGUCCUACCUCAGGCCAGGAGUCUCAAGGACUCUGUGUACUUUAAAAAAAAAAAAAAAAAGGGCAACAGCAUAAGUAAUAUUGCAAAGAACACUGGCCCAAGGCUACCAAGACUUGAUUUCAACCUUACACCUGCUUCAAACCAUAAAAUCUUUGGCAGUUGUGUCCCUGC